Molecule: ribosomal RNA, 460 nt
Filed under: uncultured bacterium
Lineage: Bacteria
Description: partial 16S ribosomal RNA
Rfam family: Bacterial small subunit ribosomal RNA
Source: RNAcentral
CCUUCGGGUGGCAGCAGUGAGGAAUAUUGGUCAAUGGGCUUACGCCUGAACCAGCCAAGUCGCGUGAGGGAAGACUGCCCUAUGGGUUGUAAACCUCUUUUGUCAGGGAGCAACGCCGGCUACGUGUAGCCGGACUGAGAGUACCUGAAGAAAAAGCAUCGGCUAACUCCGUGCCAGCAGCCGCGGUAAUACGGAGGAUGUGAGCGUUAUCCGGAUUUAUUGGGUUUAAAGGGUGCGUAGGCGGAAUGCCAAGUCAGCGGUAAAAUCGCGGGGCUCAACCUCGCUCCGCCGUUGAAACUGUUGGUCUUGAGUAUCGGAGAGGCAGGCGGAAUUCCUAGUGUAGCGGUGAAAUGCGUAGAUAUUAGGAGGAACACCAGUGGCGAAGGCGGCCUGCUGGACGACAACUGACGGUGAGGCGCGAAAGCGUGGGGAGCAAACAGGAUUAGAUACCCUGGUAGUC